RNAcentral lists this ribosomal RNA (506 nucleotides) under uncultured bacterium. Its description in RNAcentral is "bacterial SSU rRNA". It matches the Rfam family "Bacterial small subunit ribosomal RNA", at positions 21 to 518 of the family's 1533-position model. The record is from RNAcentral.
GGUUCAGGAUGAACGCUAGCGGCAGGCUUAACACAUGCAAGUCGAGGGGCAACGCGAGUAGCAAUACUUGGCGGCGACCGGCGCAAGGGUGCGUAACGCGUGAGCAACAUGCCCGUAUCAGGGGGAUAAUCCAGGGAAACUUGGUCUAAUACCCCAUAGUAAUUUUGUAAGGCAUCGUUAUAAGAUUUAAAGCUUUGGUGGAUACGGAUUGGCUCGCGUGACAUUAGCUGGAUGGUAAGGUAACGGCUUACCAUGGCUAUGAUGUCUAGGGGUUCUGAGAGGAAGGUCCCCCACACUGGAACUGAGACACGGUCCAGACUCCUACGGGAGGCAGCAGUGAGGAAUAUUGGACAAUGGAUGGAAAUCUGAUCCAGCCAUGCCGCGUGAAGGAAAAGGAAGGUCCUAUGGAUUGUAAACUUCUUUUGUAUGGGAGCAAUAAGGCCUACGAGUAGGUUGAUGAGAGUACCAUACGAAUAAGCACCGGCUAACUCCGUGCCAGCCGCUGC